RNAcentral lists this ribosomal RNA (253 nucleotides) under uncultured bacterium. RNAcentral describes it as "partial 16S ribosomal RNA". It matches the Rfam family "Bacterial small subunit ribosomal RNA", at positions 524 to 776 of the family's 1533-position model. The record is from RNAcentral.
UACGUAGGGGGCUAGCGUUGUCCGGAAUCAUUGGGCGUAAAGCGCGCGUAGGCGGCCCGGUAAGUCCGCUGUGAAAGUCAAAGGCUCAACCUUUGAAUGUCAGCGGAUACUGCCGGGCUAGAGUCCGGAAGAGGCGAGUGGAAUUCCUGGUGUAGCGGUGGAAUGCGCAGAUAUCAGGAGGAACACCAACGGCGAAGGCAGCUCACUGGGACGGUACUGACGCUGAGGCACGAAAGCGUGGGGAGCAAACAGG